AGCUUCUAGCAUUACCACGUCCUUAACGUUUGCCGGGCUGAUGGACGUGAAAGGGUGGCACCAACACCAGCCCAAUGAUCUUGAUGUCAAGGAGCCACUUUCUGAAAAUGGGCAGCACACAUCUGAACAACUGGCAGAGAGACUCAAGAUACUGGCAAAAUGUACAUUUAUAAAGCACAAGACUUUGGAGCUACAGAUACAGAAAAGAGAGCCAGCUCUAGGGGUGCAGGAAUAAAAUCAGUGACCAGGGAUAGGCCAGAGCUCCACAGUGG
Lemur catta (Ring-tailed lemur) is the source of this 272-nucleotide long non-coding RNA. RefSeq lists it as uncharacterized. The record is from RefSeq and is a predicted model, not a curated record. Lineage: Eukaryota; Metazoa; Chordata; Mammalia; Primates; Lemuridae. The transcript has 3 exons.